Molecule: unclassified non-coding RNA, 253 nt
Filed under: uncultured Alphaproteobacteria bacterium
Lineage: Bacteria; Pseudomonadati; Pseudomonadota; Alphaproteobacteria
Description: contains 16S-23S intergenic spacer region
Rfam family: Bacterial small subunit ribosomal RNA
Source: RNAcentral
UACAGAGGGGGCAAGCGUUGCUCGGAAUGACUGGGCGUAAAGGGCGCGUAGGCGGUACGUCAAGUGAGGUGUGAAAGCCCUGGGCUCAACCCAGGAAUAGCAUUUCAGACUGACGGACUAGAGGGCAGGAGAGGAAAGCAGAAUUCCUAGUGUAGAGGUGAAAUUCGUAGAGAUUAGGAAGAAUACCAGAGGUGAAGGCGGCUUUCUGGACUGUGACUGACGCUAAGGCGCGAAAGCGUGGGGAGCAAACAGG